GACGAACGCUGGCGGCGUGCUUAACACAUGCAAGUCGAACGAUGAAGAAAAGAUUUUGAGCUUCGCCAGAAAUUCAUUUCGGAUUAUUGGCAGACGGUUGAGUAACGCGUGAGCAACCUACCUCUUACAAAGGGAUAGCCUCGGGAAACCGGGAUUAAUACCAUAUAACAUUGCGACGAAGCAUUUCGGUGCAAUCAAAGCUACGGCGGUAAGAGAUGGGGGCGCGUCACAUUAACCAGAUGGUGAGGUAACGGCUCACCAUAGUAACGAUGGGUAACCGGGCUGGGAGGCGGAAACGUUACAACGGAACUGAGACACGGUCCAGAAUCCGACGGGAGGGAGCAGUGGGGAAUAGUGCACAAUGGAGGGAACUCUGGUGCAGCGACGCCGGGUGAGUGAUGAAGGAAUUCGUUUCGUACAACUGUGUUCUAUGGGAAGAAAAGGACUGUACCAGAGGAGAAAGCACCGGCUAAAUACGUG
Molecule: ribosomal RNA, 480 nt
Filed under: uncultured bacterium
Lineage: Bacteria
Description: partial 16S ribosomal RNA
Rfam family: Bacterial small subunit ribosomal RNA
Source: RNAcentral